GGCGCUGCCCCGGCGAGGGCCCGACUUGUGGUGCGGGCAGGAGCGGCCCGAGCGCGGCCCCGCUCUGCUCGUGUCCGCCUCCCGCCGGGCGCGGCAGGGCCCGAUGGCGGCCGGGCUGGGGCCGCGGCUGCUGGCCUUGGCCUUGGCCUUGGGGCCGGCCGGCGUUUGGGCUGAAAUGAGUCUGGUGGAGUCUGGUGGAGGUCUGCAAGCACCUGGGGACUCUGUGCACCUCUCCUGCCAGGGAUCUGGAUUCAACUUCGGUUCAUUUGCUGUACGGUGGUACCGUCUGGCACCCGCUGGCAGUCUUGAGUGGCUGUCCUACAUCAGCACUAGCUCCUCAUAUAUUAGAUUUGGCCCAGAUGUGGAGGGCCGAGCCAAUGUCUCCCGGGACAACUCCCAAGCAAAAGCAUCUCUAUACCUGCAUGCCCUGCGCCCCCGGGACUCAGCCUGCUACUUUUGUGCUGUUCCCACGGGGACAGGAAAUCCAGUAGAUCAUUAA
Molecule: non-coding RNA, 499 nt
Organism: Cygnus olor (mute swan)
Lineage: Eukaryota; Metazoa; Chordata; Aves; Anseriformes; Anatidae
Source: the annotation of a RefSeq genome assembly